This is a long non-coding RNA of Oryzias melastigma (Indian medaka), 2273 nucleotides long. RefSeq lists it as uncharacterized. Lineage: Eukaryota; Metazoa; Chordata; Actinopteri; Beloniformes; Adrianichthyidae. The transcript is spliced from 3 exons. The record is from RefSeq and is a predicted model, not a curated record.
AAACAUAUAUAUUUAGCACUUGGACAUUGUUGUUGUGCAUAUAUAAUAUGAGCUUUAACAUUAUUCUAAAAAUAAACAGGUUAGAACAAACUUUUAACCAAAAUUCGGCUCAAUAUUUAAUAUUUAGACAUAAAUUCAUAAAUCUAUCUAACUAAAAACAAAUCUGUAUUUCAUUAAAUGAAUGAAUUGUUAUUAUUGAGUCAAAGAUUUAUUGUGGAGGGAUGAGUCUCAGGUUACAAACCUUCUGUGCUAAUCAGAAAUAUGAAAUCAUUAAUGCAAAGUUAAGAUGACAAAAUGUGCCUUUUUUCUUUGUUAAAGUAAAAGUUAAUUGUAUUUUUUUAAUGCUACAAAUCUAAUGCCACAUGUUUACUUUUGUGGAGGUAAUAUAAAACAAUCAAAGCUAGUUAUUAAAUCGAUUUUAGAUGUUUUUAUUGUUAUUAAAGACAUCUUUUGCCCCUACACCACAGGAUGUCUGGGUUUGACAAAUCCAAACAAAGGUAGGAAUCUGUUGCAUUAAGUGUGAUUUGUCUGGGACUUGAUAACACAUGAGUGGAGAUGAUGUUUAAGCUGAAGUAUCACAGCUAAUGAGCAACAAUACAGGGAUACAGAGGAUUACACCCUCAUGAGACUGACUGAUUACAGCCAGCAAAGGGAGCGGUUUAAUGGGCCGUGAGCAUGUCCUUCCCCCAGACGAAGCCUAACACCUAAGUGAGCACAAACACUAAUGCAAUUUUCGCUGCUGCAACAUGCAGGUCUGGAGGGUAAUUUCUAGUUACUUUGUGUCUAUUUAACUCAUUUCUCUGCAGGUGAAAACCUGCGUCCACAAGCAGCCUAAAGGUGGCUGGAGAGUAUGAAGAUGUUUUGAAUUGAGGUCAGACAGGAAAAAAAAAAAAGUCGUUUUCCAUCCUGGUAAGAGACUGCGUCUCAACAACUGCACUCCACCACAUCCAGAACAAAUUGGCCAAUCUUAAUGUCAGCAAAAUGUCACUUCAUCAUAAAAGCCCGGCCUUCUCCAAGCAGCUGCCUCCCAAAGCUCUUUCUUCACAGCAUGGCACCAUACAUCCCAACAGCAGGCUUACAGUAGCUGACAUCCAUAAUAUCCCCAGGUGGAGGGUUUCAAAUAUAUUUGAUAAUUGUGACUUGUGGCCCUGUGCAGCGUGCAGCGAUUACUGGAUGUGCGUCAUGCAUGCAGCUCACAGAGCAGCGAGUGUGACAAAGUACUAGCUAAUGAAAGUGCAUCAUAAUUAACAACAGGACUUAACAAGCGGUUGUGUUUCCCCAUCGACAUGAACUGGGACGGUGGAUGCAGCUGCUGCAGCCGCAGACUUUCACCCCCAGCCGUCCCAGGCGCUGAUUUUGUGUCCAGCUGACACGCUUUGACCUGAAGGAGCUCUGCUGGCCCCGCCUGUCGGCCCGCGUGUCAGAGAGCAGCAAACAUGUCCUCAACCCCCAUUUACCACCUCAUUAUGGGAUGUUAUGAUCCAACGUGAAGCGGUGCUCUGUUUGAUCCCUCGCAACGAUACGACAACUUUGAUUUUUUUUUUUUCCUGCAUGGACUGGGGAGUGAGGAGACAGACUAGAGGAGACCAAGGACAGAGAACAGGAAAAGAGGAGCGCAGCUGAGAGAACCGGGAGACGCGACAGGCCGCUGCGGAUCCACUCCACGGUUCGUCUCGGAGGUGAAGGUGGACCAAAGUGAAGAGGGAAUAACUCACCGGGCUGUUGGACUGCUCGAUGAGCUUGCGCUCCCACAUCUUCAGGCGCCUCUCUCGCUGCUUCAGCUCCUGCUCUUUACUGCUCAGAUGGCUGCCUGGACAGGAUUCCAGCAGCACGACUUCUGAGGAAAUAAGCCCUGGUGGCGCAGACAAGGCCCGCAGACAAGCAUACGGAGAAUAAAGUGACAGCUGAGACUCAGGCUGUGCCGAACAUCAUCAAACCUCCAGCUGCUCAAACAGGCCAAUUAAACACUUCUACUUGAAAAAGAUGGUGAUUAUUUUUAGGAUCUUAUGGGUAAAGGGAGGAAGUAUAUCCAGAUGGAUCAUUCUUUGGGGGUUGUCGUGUCUUUAUGAAGCUAUCAGUGUAAUUAUUAAGGAUCUAUAUGCACAAUCUCAAGUUCUUUUCUGUGCUUCGUGGGCCCCAUCAGCCACAUUUCCACAUCAUUCUUUCAAAACCGUUGCACAUUUGCUAAGGCUGAGGCAGUACAGUGGUGAGAAAAUGAGGAUAUAAAUACAGUUGCUGGCUGCAGCAGAGAGCAGCGGAUCCCGUUACCUCCA